Molecule: transfer RNA, 68 nt
Filed under: Loxodonta africana (African savanna elephant)
Lineage: Eukaryota; Metazoa; Chordata; Mammalia; Proboscidea; Elephantidae
Rfam family: tRNA
About the family: Transfer RNA (tRNA) molecules are approximately 80 nucleotides in length. Their secondary structure includes four short double-helical elements and three loops (D, anti-codon, and T loops). Further hydrogen bonds mediate the characteristic L-shaped molecular structure. tRNAs have two regions of fundamental functional importance: the anti-codon, which is responsible for specific mRNA codon recognition, and the 3' end, to which the tRNAs corresponding amino acid is attached (by aminoacyl-tRNA synthetases). tRNAs cope with the degeneracy of the genetic code in two manners: having more than one tRNA (with a specific anti-codon) for a particular amino acid; and 'wobble' base-pairing, i.e. permitting non-standard base-pairing at the 3rd anti-codon position.
Source: Rfam by way of RNAcentral
CUGGGUGGUGCAAAUCGUUAAUGCGCUUGGCUGUUAACCAAAAGGUUAGCAGUUCGAGUCCACCCAGA